Physella acuta is the source of this 726-nucleotide long non-coding RNA. RefSeq lists it as uncharacterized. The record is from RefSeq and is a predicted model, not a curated record. Lineage: Eukaryota; Metazoa; Mollusca; Gastropoda; Physidae.
UAUACUUUAAUCAGUUUAUAGUAUAUUUAUAUACAACUGAUUCUUUACAGACUAAUUACCUGCUUUUAGUAAAAUACUUUCUACGUUGUGAUAUAGGUUUGAGUUUGAAUUUCAAACAUACAUCGCUGUUUUGUAGAUAGUAUUGUUUAUUAUAGAUAAGACAGUAAACAUACUGGCAAGUGAGUUGUUAUCAGCCUGUAGCUGCCGUAUAAUUUCUCCGAUGCACGAUUGGUGAACUCCACUUCUAGACGUGAUCACUACCUCUCCAGACAACCGUAGACAGCAAGUAAAUCGACCUAUGGAUUACAACGAUGCUAGUAUUACUACAUACUACGACGAUCUAUGACUUUCAACGAAAACAGAACUGUUGCUUCUUCUUUCAAACAAGAUUCUGGUGAGGUGAUUGUUGCUGUAGCCUGUUGUCUGUUAUUACAUUUGCUGCUCACUGGCGUGGCCCUUUGAAGUCCUACAGCUGAAUAAGAUCUUCUUUGAUCAGAGAGGUGAACAUCAAUUGUCUUAUAACUUGUUGGGAGAGUCAAGCGUAGAGUUUUCUGCAGCCCUGAACAUUCACAAGUGACAUUCAGAUGAAGAUUGUAAUACCACUGACGGCACAUUUCUAAGAUAUUUGUUGACAUGAUCGAACCUGAAGAACAUUUCUAUAAAUAUAUUACAUUUUACAAGAAAUAGUGAUACUUCAUUAAACAAAGUAAAUAAAAUAGUAGAAUU